Small nuclear RNA from Suncus etruscus (white-toothed pygmy shrew), 104 nucleotides. The record is from RefSeq and is a predicted model, not a curated record. NCBI's taxonomy places the organism in Eukaryota, Metazoa, Chordata, Mammalia, Eulipotyphla, Soricidae.
UUCUAAAUUUAAAAAAAUGUUUACUUUGGCAGCACGAUACAGAGAAGAGUAGCAUGACCUCUGCACAAGGAUGAUGUGCAAAUCGUGAAGCACUCCAUAUUUUU